CGCUUCUCAUCUUCAAAGACCUUGGCCUCCUCGGGCUUUAUCAAGUUUCCAUUUAAGCUGUUGGAGAAAAAGAACACAACCUCUAAAUAAUGGAUUUCCUCCAGGCUUGGGGCCCAGCCCUCUUCCCCCAGAAGAACCUCAUCUAUCCCUGGCCUCAUCUGUAUGUCAGUGACCUGGGCAAGACCUCCCUACUCCGGAGCCUCUUACCUACUUGACGUUUUCAUCUGGAUGCCUCCCAGGUACUCAUAGUGGGCACCUCUCCCCAGGGUGCCCUAGCUCUGUGAAUGGCACCACUCUUCCUCCAGUUGUGCAAAUUAGUAACCUGGAGGUUAACCUUACCACCUUCCCCACCUUCAUAUUCUGUCACAAAGUUUUGUUUCCUAAAUAUCCCUAGCAUGGCUCUUGGAAUCUCUCCACAUGUUCCCCCCACCGUCCUGAUCUGAGUACCUAUCACCUCUUCUCUGCCUCACUGUGCUGUCCUGCUAACUGUCCCUUGACGUGGCCUCUGCGGCCUUUCCCAGUCCACUUUCCUACAGGAGCCAGGGUGGUUUUUUUUUUU
This is a long non-coding RNA of Capra hircus (goat), 559 nucleotides long. RefSeq lists it as uncharacterized. NCBI's taxonomy places the organism in Eukaryota, Metazoa, Chordata, Mammalia, Artiodactyla, Bovidae. The record is from RefSeq and is a predicted model, not a curated record. The transcript is spliced from 2 exons.